This is a non-coding RNA of Peromyscus maniculatus bairdii (prairie deer mouse), 1195 nucleotides long. Lineage: Eukaryota; Metazoa; Chordata; Mammalia; Rodentia; Cricetidae. The record is from RefSeq and is a predicted model, not a curated record.
CAGGCCAGGGCUGAGAUGCAGAAGAUGACGGGGCUUCUGUGGAUCACUGCAGAACGGACUGGGCUGGCAGCCGGGGACUGAGGUGCUGCCAGCAAACCAUGCCUACUACAGGCCUGGCAGGACCUGGAUUUCAGGACUGAGUUCCUCAGCAGCCCCUCUGCCAAGGCCAGCACCAUGCUAAAAACACCCUGAGAAGUCUAGAGAGUGUCCCUAGACUCUGAUGUCCCCUGGCACUUGAAAACUGCAUUCCUUCAGCCAAGGAUAAGUGAAACUGCUCGUCUAAGAAAACUGGAGAAAUCACAGACAAAGCCCAGGAGCCACUGGUGGUCAUUUGCAGCAGAAAUCUGCCCCACCCAGAGGUCCCUGGCCUGGCCUUGCUGCUCAGGCUUCUCACUACACAGCUACCAGAAACCUGGAGCCUUUGGGUACCUGGGACCAGGAGCCUUUGAUCUUCAGUCCUGAUGAAUGUCAUUUCCAGACUGAAGCCAUCCUUAGCAGGGAAUACAGAAAUGGGACAGUGGGACCAAGAGCAAGCCAAGAGCAAAAUCUUUGUACUCUGUCAGCCUGAAUCAGGUCUUCUUCUGUCUCAGCAACCAUACUCCAGUGCAUCCCGACCUGGUGGACUCUGGUGCUCCACAGGCCAGGCUAUUCCAGUCUUCCCUUGAUCACCAACCUGGGUGGCUGAACACCAGCUGGGCAUUGGCAUUAGAUUGGAAAAACCGACUGAGCUUUCAAAUGGGAACUAGAGCAUAGACUCAGCUUAAAUGUCAACAGAAUCUCAUCUCACUGGAGACUCAGUUUCUGAAACAGGAGCCUGAUCCUUGUAGAAACUAAGCAAUUCUUUUGGUAUAGACAUAGAAUGCUUGUCCUGGACAGGUUUUCCCUUUGUAGCCGUGGCUGUCCUGCAACAAGCUCUGUAGACCAGGCUGGUCUUGAACUUAGAGAACCAGCCGCCCCUGGCUCUGCUUCUACAGAGCUGGAAUUAAAGGUGAAUUCAAGACAACAGAGCAGUUCUGCCCAGUUUUGUGGAAAAAAAUGUCAGUUCUUCAGAGCACACCAAGAAGGACGCUUGUCUUACCAGCCCUGAGUCCCCGGUAUUCCAUGUCCUGGCCACUGUGUUACUUAGGAAAGCCAAGCCACUGCUUUGAGGAGAGUUGGUCUGUUGAGUGGGAACUGUUUUCUCUUCCCUGUGGAC